ACAGGGAUUGCCCUAGUAACGGCGAGUGAAGCGGCAACAGCUCAAAUUUGAAAUCUGGCCCUCGUGGUCCGAGUUGUAAUUUGUAGAGGAUGCUUUUGGUGAGGUGCCUUCCGAGUUCCCUGGAACGGGACGCCAUAGAGGGUGAGAGCCCCGUCUGGUUGGACACCGAGCCUCUGUAAAGCUCCUUCGACGAGUCGAGUAGUUUGGGAAUGCUGCUCAAAAUGGGAGGUAUAUGUCUUCUAAAGCUAAAUAUUGGCCAGAGACCGAUAGCGCACAAGUAGAGUGAUCGAAAGAUGAAAAGCACUUUGAAAAGAGGGUUAAAUAGUACGUGAAAUUGUUGAAAGGGAAGCGUUUGUGACCAGACUUGGGCUCGGUUAAUCAUCCAGCGUUCUCGCUGGUGCACUUUGCCAGCCCAGGCCAGCAUCAGUUUGCUGCGGGGGAUAAAAGUUUCGGGAAUGUGGCUCCUCGGAGUGUUAUAGCCCGUUGCACAAUACCCUGUGGUGGACUGAGGUUCGCGCAUCUGCAAGGAUGCUGGCGUAAUGGUCAUCAACGACCCGUCUUGAAACACGGACCAAGGAGUCGUCUUCGUAUGCGAGUGUUCGGGUGUCAAACCCCUACGCGUAAUGAAAGUGAACGGAGGUGAGAGCUACGGCGCAUCAUCGACCGAUCCUGAAGUUUUCGGAUGGAUUUGAGUAAGAGCAUACGGGGCCGGACCCGAAAGAAGGUGAACUAUGCCUGUAUAGGGUGAAGCCAGAGGAAACUCUGGUGGAGGCUCGCAGCGGUUCUGACGUGCAAAUCGAUCGUCAAAUAUGGGCAUGGGGGCGAAAGACUAAUCGAACCUUCUAGUAGCUGGUUUCCGC
RNAcentral lists this ribosomal RNA (860 nucleotides) under Thyronectria berolinensis. RNAcentral's name for it is "LSU rRNA". It matches the Rfam family "Eukaryotic large subunit ribosomal RNA", at positions 68 to 961 of the family's 3401-position model. Lineage: Eukaryota; Fungi; Ascomycota; Sordariomycetes; Hypocreales; Nectriaceae. The record is from RNAcentral.